RNAcentral lists this long non-coding RNA (896 nucleotides) under Mus spicilegus (steppe mouse). RNAcentral's name for it is "lncRNA (ENSMSIG00000025140.1)". The record is from RNAcentral. Lineage: Eukaryota; Metazoa; Chordata; Mammalia; Rodentia; Muridae.
GUGGGCAGUCAGAACCACGACACAAGUGCCUGAUGGCUCAGUGUACACUCCUUUCCAACGCCUCCAUGCAAGUUCGAUACUGUUGGAGCUCCUCUGUUCCCACUCAAGUUGGAGCGGUGCUUUGUCUCAAGUCUUGGAACUAGGUUUCCUCUUCUCAACAGUGUCCUUCUGUGAACCAAGCCCUCACUGGCCUGAACGUCUAUUCCUUACAGAGGGACCAGUGAGCAAAAGGCUGGCGAGAAGGGAACAGGGAUCGAUGGGGUAAGAUUAAAUCUGAGGCUAGCAAGGACAGGUUCAGACCUAGGACUGGAACCAACCUCAAAACUUGGAAGGAGGCCACCAUUUGUUCUCAAGAGGUGCAAGUGACCUUCAGCUUCCAUGGAUUCUGUAGUGAAGCCGACCUUGUGGCAAGGCUGUGUUCAGCAGUGAGUUUGCAGCUCUUGAGAGAGGAAGUUUCCCAUUUCACCACCCCAGACUUCUCUUACCAAACGGGUACCAGGAGGACCUGGAUUAUGGAUGACUCUUCAAGUUUGUCCUCUUCUGCAAUAAGAUGUUUCCUGUUCAAAUUUGGAGCUGUGACAAAAGGAUAAACCAUCUAGUGAUUGCCAUAUCCAGGGAUCAAUCCCAUAAUCAGCUGCCAAACGGUGACACCAUUGCAUACACUAGCAAGAUUUUGCUGUAUGGACCCAGAUAUAGCUCUCUCUUGUGAGACUAUGCCAGGGCCUAGCAAACACAGAAGUGGAUGCUCACAGUCAGUUAUUGGAUGGGUCACACGGCCCCCAAUGGAGGAGCUAGAGAAAGUACCCAAGGAGCUAAAGGGAACUGCAACCCUCUAGGUGGAACAACAAUAUGAACUAACCAGUAGCCCGGAGCUCUUGUCUCUAGCUGCAUAUGUA